This 512-nucleotide ribosomal RNA is filed under the name uncultured bacterium. RNAcentral describes it as "bacterial SSU rRNA". It matches the Rfam family "Bacterial small subunit ribosomal RNA", at positions 10 to 518 of the family's 1533-position model. The record is from RNAcentral.
AGUUUGAUCCGUGGCUCAGGACGACGCUGGGCGGCGUGCCUAACACAUGCAAGUCGAGCGGAGAUGAUGUGAGGAAGUUUUCGGAUGGAAUCACAUUAUUUAGCGGCGGACGGGUGAGUAACGCGUGAGCGACCAACCUUGCACAGGGGGAUAACGGACCGAAAGGUUCACUAAUACCGCAUGAGACCACGGUGUUGCAUGACACAGGGGUCAAAGGAGCAAUCCGGUGCAAGACGGGCUCGCGUCCGAUUAGGUAGUUGGUGGGGUAAUGGCCCACCAAGCCUAUGAUCGGUAGCCGACCUGAGAGGGUGAUCGGCCACAUUGGAACUGAGAUACGGUCCAAACUCCUACGGGAGGCAGCAGUGGGGAAUAUUGGGCAAAUGGGGGAAACCCUGACCCAGCAACGCCGCGUGAAGGAAGAAGGUUUUCGGAUUGUAAACUUCUGUCCUUGGUGAAGAGAAGAAGACGGUAGCCAAGGAGGAAGCCCCGGCUAACUACGUGCCAGCCGCCGC